Molecule: ribosomal RNA, 524 nt
Filed under: uncultured bacterium
Lineage: Bacteria
Description: bacterial SSU rRNA
Rfam family: Bacterial small subunit ribosomal RNA
Source: RNAcentral
UAAAGUGGCAGACGGGUGAGUAACACGUGGGCAACCUACCCGGAGGUGGGGGAUAACACUUCGAAAGGAGUGCUAAUACCGCAUGAUAUCCCGGGGUCCUCGGACCCUGUGAUCAAAGCAGGCCUCUUCUUGAAAGCUUGUGCCACCGGAUGGGCCCGCGCCCCAUUAGCUUGUUGGUGGGGUAACGGCUCACCAAGGCUCCGAUGGGUAGCCGGCCUUANAGGGCGAUCGGCCACACUGGAACUGAGACACGGUCCAGACUCCUACGGGAGGCAGCAGUGAGGAAUUUUGCGCAAUGGGCGAAAGCCUGACGCAGCGACGCCGCGUGGAGGAUGAAGGCCUUCNGGUUGUAAACUCCUGUCAGGUGGGACGAAUCCCGAGAGGGUUAAUAUCCCUUUCGGUUGACGGUACUACCAGAGGAAACCCCGGCUAACUCCGUUGCCAGCAGCCGCGGUAAUACGGAGGGGGCCAGCGUUGUUCGGAAUUAUUGGGCGUAAAGGCGGUGUAAGCCGGCUGUGCAAGUC